RNAcentral lists this ribosomal RNA (528 nucleotides) under Lesueurina platycephala. RNAcentral describes it as "partial 16S large subunit ribosomal RNA". It matches the Rfam family "Bacterial large subunit ribosomal RNA", at positions 1846 to 2586 of the family's 2925-position model. Lineage: Eukaryota; Metazoa; Chordata; Actinopteri; Acropomatiformes; Leptoscopidae. The record is from RNAcentral.
UAAGAGGUCCUGCCUGCCCUGUGACAACUUGUUUAACGGCCGCGGUAUUUUGACCGUGCAAAGGUAGCGCAAUCACUUGUCUUUUAAAUAGAGACCUGUAUGAAUGGCAAAACGAGGGCUUAACUGUCUCCUUUUUCAAGUCAAUGAAAUUGAUCUCCCCGUGCAGAAGCGGGGAUAAGAACAUAAGACGAGAAGACCCUGUGGAGCUUUAAAUGUUAAGACAGACCGCAUCAACCUUAACCCAAGCGUUCCCCUGUCCUGAUGUUUUUGGUUGGGGCGACCCCGGGGUAAAAAACAACCCCCACGUGGACUGGGAGUUUAACUCCUAGAAGCUAGAGGCCCUCCUCUAACUAACAGAAUAUUUGACCAAUCAGAUCCGGCCAAUGGCCGAUCAACGGACCCAGUUACCCCAGGGAUAACAGCGCAAUCCCCUUCGAAAGACCCUAUCAACAAGGGGGUUUACGACCUCGAUGUUGGAUCAGGACAUCCUACUGGUGCAGCCGCUAGUAAGGGUUCGUUUGUUCAACG